UAUAUAUAUAUAUAUAUGCAUACAUAUAUACCUAUAUGUAUAUAUACUUGAUCUUGUUCGACGAAAGUUCUUCUACGGGAAAACCCACGUUCGUCCUACAGUCGUCGUUGUUGUGUGGUGGCGAAUCGGCGCACUUUUGAAACUCGUCAAGUGUUACAGAGAAAGUGAAUUUAAACUAUUGAACAAAUAUGAAUGAAAAUGAUAUGAAAUAAAAAUAAUCUAUUACAUGUGAUAAUCAUGGAAAACGCGCAUAUUUGUACAGCCUCCACAUCAUUCAUCGAUAUCAUCUUACUCUAUACAUAUAAAUAAAUGAAUAUAAAUAUAUAUGUAUAUAUAUAUAUAUAUAUAUAUAUGUGUGUAUACAUAUAUGUAUAUAUAUAUAUAUAUAUAUAUAUUAUAAAUAUGCUACAAUAUUAAUUAAUUAACUAUUAACUUUAGAGGAAGUAAUCAAUACUAUCGUUACUAUUAUUAUUAUUAUUAUUCGUAUUAUUAUUGUCGUCGGAUUGUAAACAAUAAUAACAAUAACGCUAACAACAACAACAACAACAACAAAUCGCAACUGUUCAAGCAUACAGUCGAUUAUAUAUAUAUUAACUACAUAGUUGAGUAAUAUAGUGUUUAAUAUUGAUGAUAAUGUUUGUAAAAAUAACGACGGCAAUGAUGAUGUUGAUUAUAAUAAUGAUAAUGGUAAAAUAAAUGAAUAAUGAUUAUUAUGAUAAUGGUAGUUGUAAUCGUAAUUGAAAAGUAUCAUCCCGUAUGUUUAUGACUUGCGUGUGCGUGUGCGUGUGUGCGUGUGUAUGGGGAAAAAGUCGAAAGAUCGAUGAACAGCAGAAAGGGAGAAAAAGCUCAGACGUGCGCGGGGCAGGUUUUGAGAAAUCUAUACAUUCGUUAUGUAUGUAAUGAUAAAGAUAAUGAUAAUGAUAAUGAUAAUAAAGUGACGAUGAUAACAGACGUUAUACACGUGACUGAAGUGUUUGUAUAUUUUCGCGUCAACAUAUAAUCGAAACGCGAAUUACAAGAAAGCGAAACAGAAGUAAGAUAAAAAAUGACACACGUUAUACAAUUUAUAUGUAUAUAUAUAAGAGUGUGCGGAGUAGGACAAAUUCGGAGUAAAGCUUAGGGGUAAAAGGUAUAAUCGAUGAAUAGAAAAUACUAGUAAGUUGAGAAACAAGAUGGUAAAGGUAAAGAGAGAAAAAGGUAAGAAGAAAAAAGAAAAAGGUAACGGUGAAAGUUACGAGAGUGUGAUAAAUAACAAAGUUUCUAAGUAAAAUUUUGAUUGCCGAAAAAGAGGAAAGAGAAAAGAUGAUUGUAUACCUUGUUGACGAUUAAUGGGAGCGGUGGAAGUAGAUGUGGAGAGUUGAAGUCACUUGAGAGUUUGUCACGAGAUUCUGACAAACUUACAACUUUGCAAUUGUCGUAACUUUUAUGCCACGUGUACGAGUUUCGUGUCCUGUGUCGAUUUAGAAAUUAAUUACCAGCGAAAAAAGAUGAAAGAAAUUAGGGCGACGAAACAGAAAUAUGAAGGAAAUUUAACGAAAAUAUUCAACGCGAUUAUUUACGUCAAGAAGCAGGUAUUUCAAUGAAAAAUUCACUUGGCGUGUGUCCGAAAUUUUUAAUACAUUUAAAACAUAUGGUAUGUAACGCGAUGUAUUCUGUGAAAAAUUGACGAAGAAAAGAGAGGGUUUUUUAAAAAAAAAAGGAGGAAAACUUCCGAAGAAUCGACGCGAGAUCAAUGAAGAUAUUUUUUGAAAAACAAGUGAGAAAUUUUCGUGUAAUAUUGUAUUAUAGGUAGUAAUAUCGAAUAUAAUAUAUCCGGGAAAAGAGAGAAAAUAGAAUAGACUCGUAAUAAUAUUGAUAAUUACAUUAAGAGAUGAUUACAUACAUAUAUAUUAUAUAUAUAUAGUAAACGUGCGUACAGUAAAAAGAAAUCAAUGAUCGUUGUACAUAGUAGAUUGUUAAGGCCCUCAACCAACCCCCCCUCUGUAGUUCUUGUAGAAAGAGUGAAGGAAGAAGUGCGGUGAAGAAAAGAGGUAAUAAUUUGAAAAAAAAAAAAAAAAAAGAUUAUACUAAACGAUAGGGAAAACGUACAGCGUUUUUGAAAAUCGUUAACUAAUAGUUAACACGUGUCGUUGUUGAGACGCCCGCUCCCCUUUUCAUCCACCCAGCAUGCAUUGAAUAUCACGAAAAAAGGAAAAGAAGGGAAAAUUUAAUCUCUAGAAAAGCACCAAUAAUCAAGCAAAAACACAAUCAAUUUUAUCCAGCCUAGCGAAGAAUGAACUCUUCAAUAAAUUCACGAACCCAGCCCCCUCCCCUCCAUCGUCAUCCUUGUAAUCAAAUUAUGCACUAAUCAUUGUACACAUACUCACACACAUGAAUACAUAUAUAUAUAUAAUACAUGUACAUAGUAGAUUUUCAUUUAAAAAAAGUAAGAAAAAAGUUUAAAAAAGAAAAAAAAAAGAAAGAAAGAAACAAAAAAAAAAACAUAAAAACAACAAGAAUCGUCAUUAUUCCCGUGUCUUUUGGAACUUGUAUCAUUCAUGAUUCCAUAUUGAUGAUUAUAACUUAUAUGUCGCAUAUUGCGAUUGAAGAUGUUGGAUUACUCUUGUGUAUAAUUAUUGCGUGUAUUAUAGAUAGUAAAAGAUCUUACUGGAAAAAAAAAAAUAAAUAAAAUAAAAUAAAAAAAAAAAGUAAUCGUGAAAAUUGCAUCGGUAAUUGGUCGUUGUAGAGAUACACCAUCGUUUUAUCCAAAGGGGCACAAUUUCCACCCCCCCCCCCCCCCCCCCCUUGUCAGUUCUGCAAAGUCUAUGUAUAGCGUUCUACAUAUAGUAUAAUAUGUAAUGCGCAUAUGUAAACUAUAUUAUACACAUAUUAAUGAUUAUUAUAUAAUAAUGAGUGGUGAUGAUGAUGAUGAUGAUGAUACGUGAACUAAUUAUGGAAUAUCAUACGUACAUUAUUUGUUUAUCCGUGCGGUGAUGAGAUGGAAAAACAGUGCAUAACGAAAUAGGAAGGGAAAGAUCAGUUGAACGUUUGUCUUGUUCGAUUUUUUUAUUAUUUCUGUUUCGAUUUCUUUUUCUAAGUAAUAUAAUUUAUUAAUUAUUCCUUCUUCUUCGUGAUAAUAUUAACGAAAGGAAAGAACAACCAGUAAGAUACCUGUUAUUGUUAUGUUGUUACUAUUAUUAUUAUUAUUAUUAUUAUUAUUGUAAUAUAGAACUGAAAUAUUGUCCCGCCCCCGCAUUUCCCCAGUGAGCAGCAGCACUUCAUAUUUUGUACGCUUGGGAGUUGUGAGGUCGUCUGAAUAAACAUUGUCUGGUGAAUUAUAAAUAUAAUACGUCUGUCUCAUUUUUUUCUACGAAUAUUACUUACGCCUAUACAUAUAUGUACAUACAUAUACAGUGUAGCGUCACUUCUUUGUACGAUAAAACCAAUUUUCCCGUUGUCUCCUAUUCAAUCUCAUCGUUAUUAUAAUACUAUCGAUAAGCGUUGGAAUAAGUGUGAAAUGGAAUUGAAACCAAAGGAGAACUAACAGAAAGAAGAUGAGGAAUAAGCGUGUAAGAAUGUCCGAGGAAAUCUGAUUAUACGGUAAGUGUGAAACGUUAUAGGUAUUUCAAUUUCGAAAACGUUGGAUCAAACUCUAAUUCCAACGGACGACAUCCGCGUCGUGUUUUGUUUACACGGCGCCCUUCAGAGUAGUUCAGUCUGUUAUAAGAUGGCGACGAGUGCGGAACGAAUAUGCCGAUGCGGGGUGAGCGUCUCGAUUGUUCGUUGUUAUUGAGUAAAUACGUGGAACGUCUCGCGUCGUGCGUCGCUCGGUUCGACGAACGAUAAGCUUGUGAAUUCAAUAACGCUGCAGCGGUCGCGAGUGAGUCAGGUUAUUUCAAUUUGCAAAUCGGGACGCGGCGGUGAUGAUGAGGAAGAUGACGAUCGUCGUUCUGACUCACGGCCAACUUCGCAUCAGUGCCGCGGCGUCGUCUCAUGCCCUCGGAAUUUUUAUGCCACAGGCCUCGGUCAAAUUUUCAGCUUCAAUAAUUCUCCUUCGAUCUCUAACCUCAACAACUUCCGGUUAAGUCGUUAUCGCCUUCCUCGCGUCGCGUCGAGUCGAGUUAACCAAGGUCAGGCAUCCGCCGAUAUGCUAACGAGCCUGCAGUCUGACCAUUGUGAAAACGCGUUUUGUACGGAGUUUAAAGUGUUAUCGGUGUGCCUGGACUUCGUCGGGGAUGCCAAGACAGCAUGUGGGAAAACACUGGACUUGGGUGAACCAAGGCGAUGACUGGUGCUGAUGCAGUGCGAGUAGACGGUGCGGAAUGAAAACCGAUCGAUCAUCAUCGGAAUCCGUCGGAGCUGGAUCAACCGCGAUAGUACCGAGGCAUCAUCCAGGAAUCGACAAUUGGCGAACGAUACGCCGAGUAACUCGUCUCUUGGUAAACACUUGACAGAUUGAUUUCCCGCGUGGCGAUGCUGGGACCGGCCACACUGUGAUUUUCCACUUAUCGGCAACAUCGUGGUGUGCGCGAUACGUACGUUGUUUCAGGACCCAGACAAGCGGAUGAUAAUCCUUGGACCUGAAGACUUUAGUGACAAACCAUCCUCCAGGUCUGAGAAAUUGUGUGGCAACUUUAAGAGCCGACAGAGUCAAGCAGGUUUGCUGAUAGGCAUCGUGCAGCCAAUUUUUACCAACAUUUGGGGCUCCGUCGUUGAGAACAACGUCAGCCUUCCACGUUUUCAACUCUCGGGAGAUGGCGACACGACAUUUGUCCGUUGUAAUGUCUUCGGUAAUGCUGAUACAGCCGGGUAUCGGUUUUAUCGGAAAUAGAUCUAUGCCGAUGACGAUUGACGACACGGGCAUGUUCUGCCGGGCGACUUGCAUCCAACCACCAGGAGCAGCGCAGAGAUCUAUGCAUACUCUAGACUUUUGCAAGAAUUCGAAUUUACGAUUGAGUUGGAUCAACUUGAACGCCGCACGAGAUCUGAAACCUGGGUUAUGGAGCACAAGAGGUUAUGUUAAUCGCUAACGUGCGCUAGUGCUGGACGCUUGCGACAGCCGACGAUACUCAGCGAUGGGGUCUUGUGAGUUUCGAAUAAGCGUAACUUGCCAACACAUGAUAUAUCAAAGCGCGG
Long non-coding RNA from Neodiprion virginianus, 5115 nucleotides. RefSeq lists it as uncharacterized. The transcript has 5 exons. The record is from RefSeq and is a predicted model, not a curated record. NCBI's taxonomy places the organism in Eukaryota, Metazoa, Arthropoda, Insecta, Hymenoptera, Diprionidae.